This is a non-coding RNA of Athene cunicularia (burrowing owl), 700 nucleotides long. The record is from the annotation of a RefSeq genome assembly. NCBI's taxonomy places the organism in Eukaryota, Metazoa, Chordata, Aves, Strigiformes, Strigidae.
AUGCUGGGAGGUGGCCUGGUCACUUGGCAUGAGUUUGACCUUGUCCCUCUCCUCUUCAUGAUGUUUGCCCAUGGCUCAGAUCCCUGGGCAGACUCAGUGUGCCCGUCAUGGGCCAUUGGGCACAGGGGCCUGUCCCACUGCCUGGGGAUGGCCGUGCUCCUGGGGCACUGGCUGACCCCCAUCUUCUCCCCUCUCUCCUCUCCCUCUCCAGGUUCCCUGGUCCAGGCAGCGCUGACUCAGCCGCCCUCCGUGUCAGCGAAUUUGGGACAAACCGUCCAGAUCACCUGCUCCGGGGUUAGCAGUUACGGUUAUGCUGGCUGGUACCAGCAGAAGGUCCCUGGCAGUGCCCCUGUCACCGUGAUCUACUGGAAUGACAACAGACCCUCAGACAUCCCUUCACGAUUCUCUGGAUCCUUCUCCGGCUCCACGGCCACGUUAACCAUCACUGGGGUCCAAGCUGAAGAUGAGGCUGUCUAUUACUGUGGUCAAUAUGAGGACACCUAUACUGGUGCCACAGUGACAGAGAGCAAUGGGGAAGUGAUACAAAAGCCUCCUGUCAUCGCAGGGGCCAGUUAGGAGUCUCUGCUGUCCCUGUUUGAUGGUGGGGCAGGGCCCUGCCAUGGCCCUGCCCUAGCUGCCCUGUGCUGCAGGUGCCUGUGCCUGGUGUCCUGCCUCGGCUGUCCCUUACAGCCCCAGGUCU